This 348-nucleotide unclassified non-coding RNA is filed under the name soil metagenome. RNAcentral describes it as "partial contains 5.8S ribosomal RNA, internal transcribed spacer 2, and large subunit ribosomal RNA". The stretch from base 1 to 120 matches the Rfam family "5.8S ribosomal RNA", at positions 35 to 154 of the family's 154-position model. The record is from RNAcentral.
GAUGAAGAACGCAGCGAAAUGCGAUAAGUAAUGUGAAUUGCAGAAUUCAGUGAAUCAUCGAAUCUUUGAACGCACAUUGCGCCCGCCAGUAUUCUGGCGGGCAUGCCUGUCUGAGCGUCAUUUCAACCCUCAUGCCCCUAGGGCGUGGUGUUGGGGAUCGGCCAAAGCCCGCGAGGGACGGCCGGCCCCUAAAUCUAGUGGCGGACCCGUCGUGGCCUCCUCUGCGAAGUAGUGAUAUUCCGCAUCGGAGAGCGACGAGCCCCUGCCGUUAAACCCCCAACUUUCCAAGGCUGACCUCAGAUCAGGUAGGAAUACCCGCUGAACUUAAGCAUAUCAAUAAGCGGAAGA